GGGUUGUGAGGUUAAGUGACUAAGCGUACACGGUGGAUGCCUAGGCAGUCAGAGGCGAUGAAGGGCGUGCUAAUCUGCGAAAAGCGUCGGCAAGGUGAUAUGAACCGUUAUACCCGACGAUACCCGAAUGGGGAAACCCAGUGCAAUCCGUUGCACUAUCAUGUCAUGAAUACAUAGUGGCAUGAGGCGAACCGGGGGAACUGAAACAUCUCAGUACCCCGAGGAAAAGAAAUCAACCGAGAUUCCCCCAGUAGCGGCGAGCGAACGGGGAGGAGCCCAGAACCUGAAUCAGUUUGAGUCUUAGUGGAAGCGUCUGGAAAGUCGCACGACAGAGGGUGAUAGUCCCGUACACGAAGAGGCAUGAGCUGUGAGUUCGAUGAGUAGGGCGGGACACGUGUUAUCCUGUCUGAAUAUGGGGGGACCAUCCUCCAAGGCUAAAUACUCCUGACUGACCGAUAGUGAACCAGUACCGUGAGGGAAAGGCGAAAAGAACCCCGGCGAGGGGAGUGAAAUAGAACCUGAAACCGUGUACGUACAAGCAGUGGGAGCAUCCUUCGGGGUGUGACUGCGUACCUUUUGUAUAAUGGGUCAGCGACUUAUAUUCUGUAGCAAGGUUAACCGCAUAGGGGAGCCGCAGGGAAACCGAGUCUUAACUGGGCGUUAAGUUGCAGGGUAUAGACCCGAAACCCGGUGAUCUAGCCAUGGGCAGGUUGAAGGUUGGGUAACACUAACUGGAGGACCGAACCGACUAAUGUUGAAAAAUUAGCGGAUGACUUGUGGCUGGGGGUGAAAGGCCAAUCAAACCGGGAGAUAGCUGGUUCUCCCCGAAAGCUAUUUAGGUAGCGCCUCGUGAAGUCAUCUUCGGGGGUAGAGCACUGUUUCGACUAGGGGGCCAUCCCGGCUUACCAACUCGAUGCAAACUGCGAAUACCGAAGAAUGUUAUCACGGGAGACACACGGCGGGUGCUAACGUCCGUCGUGAAGAGGGAAACAACCCAGACCGCCAGCUAAGGUCCCAAAGUCAUGGUUAAGUGGGAAACGAUGUGGGAAGGCCCAGACAGCCAGGAUGUUGGCUUAGAAGCAGCCAUCAUUUAAAGAAAGCGUAAUAGCUCACUGGUCGAGUCGGCCUGCGCGGAAGAUGUAACGGGGCUAAACCAUGCACCGAAGCUGCGGCAGCGACGCUUAGGCGUUGUUGGGUAGGGGAGCGUUCUGUAAGCCUGCGAAGGUGGCCUGUGAGGGCUGCUGGAGGUAUCAGAAGUGCGAAUGCUGACAUAAGUAACGAUAAUGCGGGUGAAAAACCCGCACGCCGGAAGACCAAGGGUUCCUGUCCAACGUUAAUCGGGGCAGGGUGAGUCGACCCCUAAGGCGAGGCCGAAAGGCGUAGUCGAUGGGAAACAGGUUAAUAUUCCUGUACUUGGUGUUACUGCGAAGGGGGGACGGAGAAGGCUGGGUUAUCCGGGCGACGGUUGUCCCGGUUUAAGCGUGUAGGUGGGUGUUUUUGGUAAAUCCGGAACACCGUUAACACUGAGGCGUGACGACGAGUCACUACGGUGAUGAAGUAACCGAUGCCAAGCUUCCAGGAAAAGCCUCUAAGCUCCAGGUAACACGAAAUC
This 1612-nucleotide ribosomal RNA is filed under the name Lonsdalea populi. RNAcentral describes it as "bacterial LSU rRNA". It matches the Rfam family "Bacterial large subunit ribosomal RNA", at positions 1 to 1643 of the family's 2925-position model. Lineage: Bacteria; Pseudomonadati; Pseudomonadota; Gammaproteobacteria; Enterobacterales; Pectobacteriaceae. The record is from RNAcentral.